AUAACCUGUAAUCUUCGUAUAGGACGAAGAGCAUCCACCCUCAAACCGCUUAAUUUGAGGUCACCAGGGAGA
Molecule: non-coding RNA, 72 nt
Filed under: unclassified sequences
Description: 63-dG-II sequence
Rfam family: 2dG-II purine riboswitch aptamer
About the family: Purine riboswitch variant that recognize 2'-deoxyguanosine
Source: Rfam by way of RNAcentral